This 501-nucleotide ribosomal RNA is filed under the name uncultured bacterium. Its description in RNAcentral is "bacterial SSU rRNA". It matches the Rfam family "Bacterial small subunit ribosomal RNA", at positions 45 to 518 of the family's 1533-position model. The record is from RNAcentral.
UGCCUAAUACAUGCAAGUCGAACGGUCUUUCUAUGGAAGCUUGCUUCCACUGAGAAGAUAGUGGCGAACGGGUGAGUAACACGUGGGUAACCUGCCCAUAAGAGGGGGAUAACAUCCGGAAACGGGUGCUAAUACCGCAUAGUUUUCUUGAUCGCAUGAUUGAGAAAGGAAAGACGGCCUUUGUGCUGUCGCUUAUGGAUGGACCCGCGGCGUAUUAGUUAGUUGGUGAGGUAACGGCUCACCAAGACGAUGAUACGUAGCCGACCUGAGAGGGUGAUCGGCCACAUUGGGACUGAGACACGGCCCAAACUCCUACGGGAGGCAGCAGUAGGGAAUCUUCCGCAAUGGACGAAAGUCUGACGGAGCAACGCCGCGUGAGUGAAGAAAAGGUUUUCGGAUCGUAAAACUCUGUUGUCAGAGAAGAACAAGUUGGAGAGUAACUGCUCCAGCCUUGACGGUAUCUGACCAGAAAGCCACGGCUAACUACGUGCCAGCAGCGGC